Molecule: ribosomal RNA, 719 nt
Filed under: uncultured bacterium
Lineage: Bacteria
Description: bacterial SSU rRNA
Rfam family: Bacterial small subunit ribosomal RNA
Source: RNAcentral
UGAAGUUAAAGNCAUUGGCUCAACCAAUGUAUGCUUUGGAAACUGUUAGACUUGAGUGCAGAAGGGGAGAGUGGAAUUCCAUGUGUAGCGGUGAAAUGCGUAGAUAUAUGGAGGANCACCGGUGGCGAAAGCGGCUCUCUGGUCUGUCACUGACGCUGAGGCUCGAAAGCGUGGGUAGCGAACAGGAUUAGAUACCCUGGUAGUNCACGCCGUAAACGCUGAGUGCUAGGUGUUAGGUCCUUUCCGGGACUUAGUGCCGACGCUAACGCAUUAAGCACUCCGCCUGGGGAGUACGACCGCAAGGUUGAAACUCAAAGGAAUUGACGGGGGCCCGCACAAGCGGUGGAGCAUGUGGUUUAAUUCGAAGCAACGCGAAGAACCUUACCAGGUCUUGACAUCCCGAUGCCCGCUCUAGAGAUAGAGUUUUUCUUCGGAACAUCGGAGACAGGUGGUGCAUGGUUGUCGUCAGCUCGUGUCGUGAGAUGUUGGGUUAAGUCCCGCAACGAGCGCAACCCUUAUUGUUAGUUGCCAUCAUUAAGUUGGGCACUCUAGCGAGACUGCCGGUAAUAAACCGGAGGAAGGUGGGGAUGACGUCAAAUCAUCAUGCCCCUUAUGACCUGGGCUACACACGUGCUACAAUGGUUGGUACAACGAGUCGCAAGCCGGUGACGGCAAGCUAAUCUCUGAAAGCCAAUCUCAGUUCGGAUUGUAGGCUGCAA